CGUGCAGGCGGUUUGGUAAGUCAGGCGUGAAAGCCCUGGGCUCAACCCAGGAAGUGCGUUUGAAACUACCAUACUUGAGUAUGGGAGAGGAGAGUGGAAUUCCCAGUGUAGAGGUGAAAUUCGUAGAUAUUGGGAGGAACACCCGUGGCGAAGGCGACUCCCUGGACCAAUACUGACGCUGAGACGCGAAAGCGUGGGUAGCAAACAGGAUUAGAUACCCUGGUAGUCC
RNAcentral lists this ribosomal RNA (229 nucleotides) under uncultured bacterium. RNAcentral describes it as "partial 16S ribosomal RNA". It matches the Rfam family "Bacterial small subunit ribosomal RNA", at positions 568 to 796 of the family's 1533-position model. The record is from RNAcentral.